UACGGAGGGUGCAAGCGUUAAUCGGAAUUACUGGGCGUAAAGCGCGCGUAGGCGGUUUUUUAAGUCGGAUGUGAAAGCCCCGGGCUCAACCUGGGAACUGCAUCCGAUACUGGAAGACUAGAAUGCAGGAGAGGGAGGUAGAAUUCCAUGUGUAGCAGUGAAAUGCGUAGAUAUAUGGAGGAAUACCAGUGGCGAAGGCGGCCUCCUGGCUCGACAUUGACGCUGAGGUGCGAAAGCGUGGGGAGCAAACGGG
This 253-nucleotide ribosomal RNA is filed under the name uncultured bacterium. RNAcentral's name for it is "partial 16S ribosomal RNA". It matches the Rfam family "Bacterial small subunit ribosomal RNA", at positions 524 to 776 of the family's 1533-position model. The record is from RNAcentral.